GACGUAGGGGGCGAGCGUUGUCCGGAUUUAUUGGGCGUAAAGAGCUCGUAGGCGGCUCGUUGCGUCGGCUGUGAAAACCCGCAGCUCAACUGUGGGCUUGCAACUGAUACGGGCGGUCUGGGAUUCGGUAGGGGAGACUGGAAUUCCUGGUGUAGCGGUGAAAUGCGCAGAUAUCAGGAGGAACACCGGUGGCGAAGGCGGGUCUCUGGGCCGAUAUCGACGCUGAGGAGCGAAAGCGUGGGGAGCGAACAGG
RNAcentral lists this ribosomal RNA (253 nucleotides) under uncultured bacterium. RNAcentral's name for it is "partial 16S ribosomal RNA". It matches the Rfam family "Bacterial small subunit ribosomal RNA", at positions 524 to 776 of the family's 1533-position model. The record is from RNAcentral.